This is a long non-coding RNA of Alosa sapidissima (American shad), 115 nucleotides long. RefSeq lists it as uncharacterized. The transcript has 3 exons. NCBI's taxonomy places the organism in Eukaryota, Metazoa, Chordata, Actinopteri, Clupeiformes, Clupeidae. The record is from RefSeq and is a predicted model, not a curated record.
UUUAUAUCAGAUUAGGGCAACACUAUGCCAGUUUGCUCAUGGUUAUGCGUUUAAAUGUAUGUGACUACACCUGUAUGUAUGCUUAUGUAUAUUAGCCUAUUAACACUUUUACUUG